RNAcentral lists this ribosomal RNA (253 nucleotides) under uncultured bacterium. RNAcentral's name for it is "partial 16S ribosomal RNA". It matches the Rfam family "Bacterial small subunit ribosomal RNA", at positions 524 to 776 of the family's 1533-position model. The record is from RNAcentral.
UACGCAGGGGGCAAGCGUUGUGCGGAUUUAUUGGGCGUAAAGAGCGUGUGGGCGGCUUGGUAGGUCCGAUGGGAAAACUCGAGGCUCAACCUCGAGAUGUCGGCGGAAACCACUUGGCUAGAGUCCGGAAGAGGAGAGUGGAAUUCCUGGUGUAGCGGUGAAAUGCGCAGAUAUCAGGAAGAACACCUAUGGCGAAGGCAGCUCUCUGGGACGGUACUGACGCUGAGACGCGAAAGCGUGGGGAGCGAACAGG